Molecule: ribosomal RNA, 274 nt
Filed under: uncultured bacterium
Lineage: Bacteria
Description: partial 16S ribosomal RNA
Rfam family: Bacterial small subunit ribosomal RNA
Source: RNAcentral
AUACGGAGGGUGCAAGCGUUGUCCGGAUUUAUUGGGUUUAAAGGGUGUGUAGGCGGUGUAUUAAGUCAGUGGUGAAAGCCUGCGGCUCAACCGUAGAACUGCCAUUGAUACUGACACACUUGAGUAUGGACGAGGUAGGCGGAAUUUAUGGUGUAGCGGUGAAAUGCAUAGAUACCAUAAAGAACACCGAUAGCGAAGGCAGCUUACUAGGCCAUAGCUGACGCUGAGGCACGAAAGCGUGGGGAGCGAACAGGAUUAGAAACCCCAGUAGUCC